Molecule: ribosomal RNA, 1916 nt
Filed under: insect metagenome
Description: bacterial LSU rRNA
Rfam family: Bacterial large subunit ribosomal RNA
Source: RNAcentral
AGGUGAAAAGAACCCCGGGAGGGGAGUGAAAUAGAAUCUGAAACCUAGUGUUUACAAGCAGCGAAAAGCUGAGGUUAGCUGCAAAUAAGCCAAGCCUCAGAUAUCCGAAUGGGGAAACCCACCUCAAAAGAGGAAUCCUAUAGCCAAUAAAUAACUAUAGGAAGCGAACCAGGUGAACUGAAACAUCUAAGUAACCUGAGGAAGAGAAAGAAAACUCGAUUCCCAAAGUAGCGGCGAGCGAACAGGGACCANCUAGCGACCNNCACGUGUAAAAAGAGAAAAUAGCCAGUCGAAUCAUCUGGGAAGACGAACCAAAGAAGGUAACAGUCCCGUAGACGAAGGCGAAGAUAUCCGACACAAAAGAGUACCACGGAACACGAGAAAUUCAGUGGGAAUACAGGGGGACCACCCCCUAAGGCUAAAUACUACUUGGUGACCGAUAGCGAACAAGUACCGUGAGGGAAAGGUGAAAAGAACCCCGGGAGGGGAGUGAAAUAGAAUCUGAAACCUAGUGUUUACAAGCAGCGAAAGUGGCAAAAGCCACGAUCGUGUACUUUUUGUAGAACGGGCCAGCGAGUUACGAUUACAAGCAAGGUUAAACAUUAAAGAUGUGGAGCCGAAGCGAAAGCGAGUCUAAAGAGGGCAAAAGUUAGUAGUCGUAGACCCGAAACCGUGUGAUCUAUCCAUGAGCAGAGUGAAGUUGAAGUAAAAUUCAAUGGAGGCUCGAACCGGGUAGCGUUUAAAAGCUAUCGGAUGACUUGUGGAUAGGGGUGAAAAGCCAAACGAACACGGAGAUAGCUGGUUCUCCUCGAAAUAGCUUUAGGGCUAGCCUCUAGCAAGAAUGAAAAGGGGGUAGAGCACUGACUGGUCAAGGGGCAUGCAUAUGUUACCGAGACCUAUCAAACUCCGAAUACCAAAUCAUACGCUAGGGAGUCAGACUAUGGGGGAUGAGCUUCAUAGUCGAAAGGGAAAGANCCCAGACCNUCNGCUAAGGUCCCNAAAUNCAUAGUUAAGUGGNAAAGGAUGUGGAGUUNCUNANACAACNAGGANGUUGGCUUNGAAGCAGCCACUCNUUNAAAGAGUGCGUAAUAGCUCACUAGUCAAGUGACUCUGCGCCGAAGAUAACCGGGGCUAAACUAUAUACCGAAGCUAUGGAACGAAAAACGUUGGUAGAGGAGCAAUGUAUGAAGGAAGAAGCAGAAGUUGAAAAGCACUGUGGACAUCAUACAAGAGAGAAUGCUGGCAUGAGUAGCGAGAGGUGAGUGAGAAUCUCACCCGUCGAAAACCUAAGGAUUCCUGAGCAAGGCUCGUCCACUCAGGGUNAGUCGGGACCUAAGGCGAGGCUGAAAAGCGUAGUCGAUGGACAACAGGUUGAAAAUCCUGUACCGAUACAAUCAGUGAGGAAGUGGGGACGCAGAAGGAUAAUAAGAGCGCCCAGUUGGUGAGGCGUGCAAGCGCAAAGGAUGGGAAGUAGGCAAAUCCGCUUUCCGAGAAGUCUAAAGCGUGAUGCGGAUCGAAAACAAGUAGAGAAGCUUAUAACUCCACACUGCCAAGAAAAGCCACUACAAGAGAAGUAUCGCCCGUACCGCAAACCGACACAGGUAGGUGAGGAGAGAAUCCUAAGACGAGCGGAAAAACCUUUGUUAAGGAACUCGGCAAAAUGACCCCGUAACUUCGGGAGAAGGGGAGCCCCUGUAAAAGGGGGCCGCAGUGAAAAGGCCCAAGCGACUGUUUACCAAAAACACAAGUUUCUGCGAAGUCGAAAGACGAAGUAUAGGAGCUGACACCUGCCCGGUGCUGGAAGGUUAAGGGAAAAAGUUAGCAUAAGCGAAGCUUAGAACUGAAGCCCCAGUAAACGACGGCCGUAACUAUAACGGUCCUAAGGUAGCGAAAUUCCUUGUCGGGUAAGUUCCGAC